This 1094-nucleotide ribosomal RNA is filed under the name Pteridomonas danica. RNAcentral's name for it is "partial Bacterial small subunit ribosomal RNA". It matches the Rfam family "Bacterial small subunit ribosomal RNA", at positions 1 to 1086 of the family's 1533-position model. The record is from RNAcentral. Lineage: Eukaryota; Dictyochophyceae; Pedinellales.
UUGAGAGUUUGAUCCUGGCUCAGAACGAACGCUGGCGGCAUGCCUAACACAUGCAAGUCGAACGAGAAAGCACUUCGGUGUGAGUAGAGUGGCGCACGGGUGAGUAACACGUAGGUGACCUACCGUACAGUGGGGGAUAACCAGAAGAAAUUCUGGCUAAUACCGCAUACGCAGUACAAUUUUGAAAGUAGUACUGGAAAGGAUGCUUCGGCAUUCACUGAACGAUGGGCCUGCGUAGCAUUAGUUUGAUGGUGGGGUAAUGGCCUACCAUGACUACGAUGCUUAGCUGGUCUGAGAGGAUGAUCAGCCACACUGGAACUGAGACACGGUCCAGACUCCUACGGGAGGCAGCAGUGGGGAAUAUUGCGCAAUGGGGGAAACCCUGACGCAGCAAUGCCGCGUGAGUGAGGAAGGGUUUCGGCUCGUAAAGCUCUGUCAGAAGGGAAUAAUGGUUAUUGGUCUAAUAGGCCUUUAAUUUGAAGGUACCUUCAAAGGAAGCACCGGCUAACUUCGUGCCAGCAGCCGCGGUAAUACGAAGGGUGCAAGCGUUGUUCGGAUUUAUUGGGCGUAAAGCGCGCGCAGGCGGACGGCUAAGUCAGAUGUGAAAUCUCGGGGCUCAACCCCGAAGCUGCGUCUGAAACUGGUCGUCUAGAAUCUCGGAGAGGAAAGGGGAAUUUCGCAUGUAGGGGUAAAAUCCGUAGAGAUGCGAAGGAACACCAGAGGCGAAGGCGCCUUUCUGGACGAGUAUUGACGCUGAGGCGCGAAAGCGUGGGGAGCAAACAGGAUUAGAUACCCUGGUAGUCCACGCCGUAAACGAUGUGCACUAGGUUCGGGAGGUAUUGACCCCUUCCGUGCCGUAGCUAACGCAUUAAGUGCACCGCCUGGGGAGUACGGUCGCAAGACUAAAACUCAAAGGAAUUGACGGGGCCCGCACAAGCGGUGGAGCAUGUGGUUUAAUUCGACGCAACGCGAAGAACCUUACCUGGCCUUGACAUGCAGAGAACUUUCCAGAGAUGGAUUGGUGCCUUCGGGAACUCUGACACAGGUGCUGCAUGGCCGUCGUCAGCUCGUGUCGUGAGAUGUUGGGUUAAGUC